Molecule: small nuclear RNA, 109 nt
Organism: Hippopotamus amphibius kiboko
Lineage: Eukaryota; Metazoa; Chordata; Mammalia; Artiodactyla; Hippopotamidae
Source: RefSeq, a predicted model, not a curated record
GUGCUCACUUUGGUAGCACAUAUACUAAAAAAUUGGAAUGAUACAAAGAAGAUUAGCAUGGCCCCUGUGCAAGGAUGACAUGCAAAUUUAUGAAGGAACUUUAGUGUCA